GAAGGGCUUGGCUCUUCCUGUAAUUGGGUGACUCUUGGGUGGCUCUCUGGUUCCUCUCGUCUGACCUGGGCUUGUCCUAUCCCAACUGGCAUCUCCCAGGAGUCUCUCCAGUGUACCUCUGUCCAGUUGGAACUGGCCAGAAAUAAUCAGCUGCAAUCGAUCAUCAUCAAGAAACCGGAUCAACAGAAAACCUAACUGCCUUCCAUUGUUCCUUUAGGUGAGGGUCUGCCUGCCCCAGUGCGGGAGCCUCAGUUAUCUUGAUCCUUCUGGAAAGAUCCUUGAGGAAAGAUGCAAAUCCUCAAUACAAAGUUUUUUAACUCAGAAAGGGCAGUCCUUUCCACUUCGACGGCAACUUUUCCCUGUGAGUGUCUCUUGGAUAAGAGCCAUGUGGUUCACCUAGUAGGAAAGAGGUUCAUUUGGACACCCAGGGCUUAAGCACGUACUGCAUGACCCCAGUGCCAAGACCACAAGGAUGACAGGGUGUUUAGGAAGUGAAUGGGACUGGGCGAAGUCUAAAGGUGGACUCCCAUGGUGGCUGCUCCAACAAGAAGAUCCUAAGACACUUAUUCUGUCUCACCAGUUGUCAAGAAAGUCUUCCCCAAAAGCUAGCACCAGAAGUGUGAACUAAUAAACUCCUAGUCUUUAU
RNAcentral lists this long non-coding RNA (646 nucleotides) under Rattus norvegicus (Norway rat). Its description in RNAcentral is "long non-coding RNA NONRATT003742". Lineage: Eukaryota; Metazoa; Chordata; Mammalia; Rodentia; Muridae. The record is from RNAcentral.